AGUGAACGCUGGCGGUAGGCCUAACACAUGCAAGUCGAACGGCAGCACAGUAAGAGCUUGCUCUUACGGGUGGCGAGUGGCGGACGGGUGAGGAAUACAUCGGAAUCUACUUUUUCGUGGGGGAUAACGUAGGGAAACUUACGCUAAUACCGCAUACGACCUACGGGUGAAAGCAGGGGAUCUUCGUACCUUGCGCGAUUGAAUGAGCCGAUGUCGGAUUAGCUAGUUGGCGGGGUAAAGGCCCACCAAGGCGACGAUCCGUAGCCGGUCUGAGAGGAUGAUCAGCCACACUGGAACUGAGACACGGUCCAGACUCCUACGGGAGGCAGCAGUGGGGAAUAUUGGACAAUGGGCGCAAGCCUGAUCCAGCCAUACCGCGUGAGUGAAGAAGGCCUUCGGGUUGUAAAGCCCUUUUGUUGGGAAAGAAAAGCAGCAGGUUAAUACCCCGCUGUUCUGACGGUACCCAAAGAAUAAGCACCGGCUAACUUCGUG
RNAcentral lists this ribosomal RNA (492 nucleotides) under uncultured bacterium. RNAcentral describes it as "partial 16S ribosomal RNA". It matches the Rfam family "Bacterial small subunit ribosomal RNA", at positions 29 to 507 of the family's 1533-position model. The record is from RNAcentral.